This is a non-coding RNA of Acanthosepion pharaonis, 92 nucleotides long. Lineage: Eukaryota; Metazoa; Mollusca; Cephalopoda; Sepiida; Sepiidae. The record is from the annotation of a GenBank genome assembly.
AGCUUUGAAAUAUCGGUUUCCAUAUGAUCACCGAAGUUAAGCAACGUCAGUACCUAGAUGGUUGACCUCUUGGGAAUACCAGGUGCUGUAAG